UGCGUAGGCGGGCAGGUAAGUCAGUGGUGAAAUCCUGGAGCUCAACUCCAAAACUGCCAUUGAUACUAUCUGUCUUGAAUAUUGUGGAGGUAAGCGGAAUAUGUCAUAUAGCGGUGAAAUGCUUAGAUAUGACAUAGAACACCCAUUGCGAAGGCAGCUUACUACGCAUAUAUUGACGCUGAGGCACGAAAGCGUGGGGAUCAAACA
Molecule: ribosomal RNA, 207 nt
Filed under: uncultured bacterium
Lineage: Bacteria
Description: partial 16S ribosomal RNA
Rfam family: Bacterial small subunit ribosomal RNA
Source: RNAcentral